AACGAACGCUGGCGGCAUGCCUAACACAUGCAAGUCGAACGAGACCUUCGGGUCUAGUGGCGCACGGGUGCGUAACGCGUGGGAACCUGCCCUUAGGUUCGGAAUAACUCCCCGAAAGGGGUGCUAAUACCGGAUAAUGUCUUCGGACCAAAGAUUUAUCGCCUUUGGAUGGGCCCGCGUUGGAUUAGCUAGUUGGUAGGGUAAAAGCCUACCAAGGCGGCGAUCCAUAGCUGGUCUGAGAGGAUGAUCAGCCACACUGGGACUGAGACACGGCCCAGACUCCUGCGGGAGGCAGCAGUGGUGAAUAUUGGACAAUGGGCGAAAGCCUGAUCCAGCAAUGCCGCGUGAGUGAUGAAGGCCUUAGGGUUGUAAAGCUCUUUUACCCGGGAUGAUAAUGACAGUACCGGGAGAAUAAGCUCCGGCUAACACCGU
RNAcentral lists this ribosomal RNA (432 nucleotides) under uncultured bacterium. RNAcentral describes it as "partial 16S ribosomal RNA". It matches the Rfam family "Bacterial small subunit ribosomal RNA", at positions 29 to 506 of the family's 1533-position model. The record is from RNAcentral.